Molecule: ribosomal RNA, 440 nt
Filed under: uncultured bacterium
Lineage: Bacteria
Description: bacterial SSU rRNA
Rfam family: Bacterial small subunit ribosomal RNA
Source: RNAcentral
CCUACGGGCGGCUGCAGUGAGGAAUUUUCGUCAAUGGGGGCAACCCUGAACGAGCAACGCCGCGUGCAGGAUGAAGGUUUUCGGAUCGUAAACUGCUUUUCUGUGGGACGAGCAAGGACGGUACCAUAGGAAGAAGCCCCGGCUAACUACGUGCCAGCAGCCGCGGUAAUACGUAGGGGGCGAGCGUUGCCCGGAUUUAUUGGGCGUAAAGCGUCCGCAGGCGGUCUUUCAAGUUUGGGUGACAGUUCCCGGCUUAACUGGGAAAGUGCUUCAAAGACUGGAAGACUUGAGAGGUUCAGAGGAAAGCGGAAUUCCGGGCGGAGUGGUGAAAUGCGUAGAUAUCCGGAGGAACACCGAUGGUGUAGGCAGCUUUCUGGGAACUAUCUGACGCUGAUAGACGAAAGCUAGGGGAGCAAACGGGAUUAGAUACCCCGGUAGUC